CGGCCUAUCAGCUUGUUGGUGAGGUAAUGGCUCACCAAGGCGACGACCGGUUGCCGGCCUGAGAGGGUGACCGGCCUAACUGGGACUGAAACACGGCCCAGACUCCUACGGGAGGCAGCAGUGGGGAAUAUUGCACAAUGGGCGAAAGCCUGAUGCAGCAACGCCGCGUGAGGGAUGACGGCCUUCGGGUUGUAAACCUCUUUUAGUAGGGAAGAAGCGUAAGUGACGGUACCUGCAGAAAAAGCACCGGCUAACUACGUGCCAGCAGCCGCGGUAAUACGUAGGGUGCAAGCGUUGUCCGGAAUUAUUGGGCGUAAAGAGCUCGUAGGCGGUUUGUCGCGUCUGCUGUGAAAUCCCGAGGCUCAACCUCGGGCUUGCAGUGGGUACGGGCAGACUAGAGUGCGGUAGGGGAGAUUGGAAUUCCUGGUGUAGCGGUGGAAUGCGCAGAUAUCAGGAGGAACACCGAUGGCGAAGGCAGAUCUCUGGGCCGUAACUGACGCUGAGGAGCGAAAGCGUGGGGAGCGAACAGGAUUAGAUACCCUGGUAGUCCACGCCGUAAACGUUGGGCGCUAGAUGUAGGGACCUUUCCACGGUUUCUGUGUCGUAGCUAACGCAUUAAGCGCCCCGCCUGGGGAGUACGGCCGCAAGGCUAAAACUCAAAGGAAUUGACGGGGGCCCGCACAAGCGGCGGAGCAUGCGGAUUAAUUUGAUGCAACGCGAAGAACCUUACCAAGGCUUGACAUACACCGGAAACGGCCAGAGAUGGUUGCCCCCUUGUGGUCGGUGUACAGGUGGUGCAUGGUUGUCGUCAGCUCGUGUCGUGAGAUGUUGGGUUAAGUCCCGCAACGAGCGCAACCCUCGUUCUAUGUUGCCAGCGCGUUAUGGCGGGGACUCAUAGGAGACUGCCGGGGUCAACUCGGAGGAAGGUGGGGAUGACGUCAAAUCAUCAUGCCCCUUAUGUCUUGGGCUUCACGCAUGCUACAAUGGCCGGUACAAAGGGGUGCGAUACCGUAAGGUGGAGCGAAUCCCAAAAAGCCGGUCUCAGUUCGGAUUGAGGUCUGCAACUCGACCUCAUGAAGUCGGAGUCGCUAGUAAUCGCAGAUCAGCAACGCUGCGGUGAAUACGUUCCCGGGCCUUGUACACCCCCCCCGUCAAGUCAUGUAAGUCGGUAACACC
RNAcentral lists this ribosomal RNA (1176 nucleotides) under Curtobacterium citreum. RNAcentral's name for it is "bacterial SSU rRNA". It matches the Rfam family "Bacterial small subunit ribosomal RNA", at positions 234 to 1421 of the family's 1533-position model. Lineage: Bacteria; Bacillati; Actinomycetota; Actinomycetes; Micrococcales; Microbacteriaceae. The record is from RNAcentral.